RNAcentral lists this ribosomal RNA (429 nucleotides) under uncultured bacterium. RNAcentral's name for it is "bacterial SSU rRNA". It matches the Rfam family "Bacterial small subunit ribosomal RNA", at positions 82 to 507 of the family's 1533-position model. The record is from RNAcentral.
AACCUGGUGGCGAGUGGCGAACGGGUGAGUAAUGCAUCGGAACGUGCCAUUGAGUGGGGGGUAACGUAGCGAAAGUUACGCUAAUACCGCAUAUUCUGUGAGCAGGAAAGCAGGGGAUCGCAAGACCUUGCGCUCUUUGAGCGGCCGAUGUCAGAUUAGCUAGUUGGUGAGGUAACGGCUUACCAAGGCGACGAUCUGUAGCGGGUCUGAGAGGAUGAUCCGCCACACUGGAACUGAGACACGGUCCAGACUCCUACGGGAGGCAGCAGUGGGGAAUUUUGGACAAUGGGGGCAACCCUGAUCCAGCCAUGCCGCGUGAGUGAAGAAGGCCUUCGGGUUGUAAAGCUCUUUCGGCCGGGAAGAAAUCGCAUGGGUUAAUACCCUGUGUGGAUGACGGUACCGGCAUAAGAAGCACCGGCUAACUACGUG